RNAcentral lists this ribosomal RNA (224 nucleotides) under uncultured bacterium. RNAcentral describes it as "partial 16S ribosomal RNA". It matches the Rfam family "Bacterial small subunit ribosomal RNA", at positions 1277 to 1500 of the family's 1533-position model. The record is from RNAcentral.
GAAAGCCAAUCUCAGUUCGGAUUGUAGGCUGCAACUCGCCUACAUGAAGUUGGAAUCGCUAGUAAUCGCGAAUCAGAAUGUCGCGGUGAAUACGUUCCCGGGUCUUGUACACACCGCCCGUCACACCACGAGAGUUUACAACACCCGAAGUCAGUGGCCUAACCGCAAGGAGGGAGCUGCCUAAGGUGGGGUAGAUGAUUGGGGUGAAGUCGUAACAAGGUAGC